GCAACUGAUAUAUAAGAUGGCUCUUGACCAUGCGGAGUGACUAAUUAACGGCCGCGGUAUUUUGACCGUGCGAAGGUAGCGCAUCACUUGUCUUUUAAUGAGACCUGUAUGAUGGUGUACGAGGGCUUACUGUCUCCCCUUCGAGUCAUGAAUUGAUCUGCCGUGCAGAGCGGACAUAAAUACAGACGAGAGACCUUGAGCUAGAUACAGGAUCACUAUGUCAGGAUCAUAAGCUAACUAAUACACUGAUCCUAUCUUCGUUGGCACUCUGAGAAACAAGCUCCUGCGAUGGCCACGCUAACCAGGAGUAUUUCUAGUCCGAAUCUGAACUUAAAUCGCAGGCGAUAGCACGGUACCUAGUACGCAACCUUCGAGUCAUCCGAGGUACACCUAUUGUACGACCAUGGCCCGUUAGGCCUGUCUAGAAGC
RNAcentral lists this ribosomal RNA (429 nucleotides) under Clarias gariepinus (North African catfish). RNAcentral describes it as "partial large subunit ribosomal RNA". Lineage: Eukaryota; Metazoa; Chordata; Actinopteri; Siluriformes; Clariidae. The record is from RNAcentral.